AGCGAACAAUAUUUGCAUAUAUGACAUACGCAUCUGGAUAGGUGUUUAUGAAUUUGGCGCGUUUAAUUUGGAAACCAUAUUGAAACUGUAUUUCAAGGAACCGGGAAGGGGAUUAUCAUCGAUGGUAAGUAAAAGUCAUUUCGGCUAUUAAGUUGCUUAGUUGUUUGACCUACGGAACCCAAUUAAAAGAUUUGUGUUGGAAUGACUGCAAAUUUAUGCAGAAAAAGAAGCUCAAAAGAAGUGUGCUUGUAUUACAAAAAUCAUGCAGCGAUUCUUUACUGGGGAAAACGUCUAGGGUAAAAUGUACAUAAACACUUCAUGACAUGCAUGUGAAGCUUACUAAAUUGGGAGUUCUUGUUAUAUAUAUAUAUAUAAGUUAAAUCGUCUGUUGCUUUCAAUUAGUAUUUGUGGGUAUUUUGUGUUUUGUUUAAAUGUAUUCGCAUGUGUAGUCAAUCUAUUGAAUAUUAAACACAUGGCACACACAUUCAAUGCAAUCUGAAUAUUCAACGUUCAUUGGAGAUCUGAACAUUUAUUGUGAAACGUAUCAAGGAUUUACGCAUGUGAAAGAUGUUUAUGGUAAUAUUCUGAAGUCAAUAAAAUUUCGAAAUGCAAAAAGCAAUAUUUAGCUCUUCAUUGCCGAUGAACUAGUGAAUAAAUAUGAGUUUUGAUUAAUAUAAACAAAAAAUAUGUUGAAAAGAUAGCUAUCAAAUUUUAGAAAAAAAAGAUUAAAAAGAAAUGGAAAAAAAUAAUUAAGAAAGAGAAAAAAUACCCUUGCCACAAUGCUAGAAUUUUAAAUACAACAAUAUAAAGGGAUCAAGCAGUACUCCAACGUUAGCAGUUUGUUGGUAAAUAAUAUCAUUAAAUUAAGAUUAUCAAUAAUGACAACACAAAUUCAAAUUAAGUUCUAUAGUUUUGUAUUAUCCAUAGAAUUAACAAAUGAUCAUCUUUGCAUUGAUUAAUUCUUACCAUUUUGCAUUGAAUCACAAGCAUUUGUUUUAAUUAGUAUUAUUUUCAUUUCUUUGGAAUAUGUUAUCUAUACGCGCUUUCAUUGAACCAAUCUUUAUCUACUGUCUGUAAAUAUACAGUAAAUCUCUUGUUUUCAGAUAAAAAGUUAACAAAACAAUUAUAAUGUAUCUAUUUUUACAUACAUAUCCGGCUCCAGGCAAUGUUUCAUGUUUCAUAAUAUUAACUUAAUAUAUAAAUAUUGUAUCAUCAUUGAUCCUGUCGUCGCUUCAAAUUUAGAUAUUCUAUAUUAAGACGAUUGGUCAUUAAACCGUUUUCUAUUGAAAUAUUAGUUAUUAUCUAUAAUUAUACCUUCUUUCGGAUAAAUAUUUUCCCUGCAGUUUUGGAUCAUGUUUCAUCGUUUAAAAAAAAGUAAUUCGAUAUUAGAAAAGAAGUCACGGAAAUGUUUAUUUGAUACAUUCAUUAAGUUGUUUAUUCUAACAUGUUUCACAAUUAAUGAUUUAACUUGGAAAAAUUAAUUAAGAUAUCAAGAUCCCUGCAGCACGCCUUUGUCUAUCCCGUUCUAUUAAAUAUACCAACAAACCCUUGUCUAAUAAGGUUAACAAAUGUUGAAAACUAUUACAAAUGGUUGAAAGGUUUAGCGUUAUAAAACAAUCCACCAUAUUCUACAUUUAAAAAUUCCUGUACCAAGUCAGGAAUAUGACAGUUGUUGUCCAUUCGUUUGAUUUUGUCAUGUGAUUGGGGACUUUCCGAUUGAAUUUUACUCGGAGUUCAAUAUUUUUUUGAUUUUAUUAUUUUUUAUACCAUUUCUUAGAUAUCGUAAAUACUUUUACCGUGUGUUAUAAAAACAAAAGAAGUAAUAUAUAUGUUGUCUAUAGAUUUACGACCAAAAGCCAUUUUAUUAAACAUCAAUAUGUAUCCUAUUUUAUUCCAAAACAUAAAUUUGGAGAUUUUCUUAUGAAUAUCAUUAUUGGACAUGGACUUAUAAUUAUAAAUGGUAUUGUACCUAAAAGAAAUUAUUUAUUAUUAAAUUCUUUACCAUAUUUUCGUUUACUAUUUACUGAUUAAAGGUAUGAAAUUUGAUAUUCUGCAAUGUUUAGCGAAUUUUAUGUUGAUGCUGCUCCGCUAUGUUUGCUCUAAGAUAUGAAAAACAAUUCCAAAAAUGUCAUUAUACAAAUAGAACGAGGAACCACAAUACAAGAAAUACAAGAUAAAUUGAAAUUAAUCCAGUUUUAUAAACCUUCGAUAGGGACACAUAAAUAACUGAUAUUUGUCGUACAAAAGAAACUAGGAAUUGUAGUAAUUCUGUUACAAAAAGGAUAACCGCUAAGUUAAACUUAAAAUUUUACAACAAUUAGUUACACAUGACUCUAUAUUAUGAAAAUAUUUUAAAACUUUCAAUUCAAUCUUACUUUUAAAUGCACGUUUAAACAUUUGUCAGUAUGGCCAGUGACAAUUUAUAUUAAACAUGCAUCAGCUAUACCUGAAAGACUGUUUAAUAAAUAAUCCACCAUACUUUAUUUAAGCUAACACUUCCCUGUUAUGGGAAAGAAAAACAUGUAAAAAUUAUAAUGUAUAUUUAUAAAUAAAAUAGAUCAAUGUAUUCUACACAUUACAAAAAAAAUUUCAACUCUAAAAGUAUUUGAUUUAUAAUACACAAUAUAAUUCGCGCUGUCAGCAUGGUCAGGUAAAUCAAUAGUGUACUAUUAAAUAAAGAUGCUAUAUUAACUUUGCUUUGAAUUUUGACAUUCUUGUAUUGAAAAGAUAUAAGAAGAUGUGGUAUGCGUUUUGAUGAUACAACUCUCCAUUAUUCUACAUUAUAAAGAAGUCAAAUAAAAGUACUAUAUGAUUAAAAUUAAAAGGUUUCACUUAUCAUUUUCACACAACUUUCAAUGUCACAAAAUCCGGUGACAGAUACAAACUUGAAAAUUGGUGCAUUCUAUUUUAAAUGUUUUAUCUAUAUAUUAAGAUCAAUACUUAAAAUUGGUAGACAUAGACGUUAAAUGCUUAUACUUUUACUGUCUGUUAUAAGAACGAAAGAAGUAAUGCAUAAUGCUGUUGCUUUCAGGUUUACUAACAAAAGCUAUUUUUUCAACAAAAAUAUGUACGCUGUUAUUUUCGAAAACAUAAAUUUGGAGAGUUUCUGAUAUAAUUUUUGGACAUGGACUUAUAAUUAUAACAGACAUUAUUUAUUAUAAAAUUCCUCACCAUAUUUUUGUUUACUAUUUACUGAUUAAAAGUAUGAAAUUUGAUAUUCAGCAAUGUUUUAGCGAAUUCUAUUUUGAUGCUGCUAACGCUAUGUCUGCUCUAAAAUAUAUGAAAAACAUCUCUAAAAUGUCAUUAUACAAAACACGACAAGAAACUUUGAUACAAAAAAUACAAGUUGAAGUGAAAUUAAACCAGGGCCAUACACACACAAGAUAUUCUCCCUUAAAAACGAAUCUAGAUAGUAGUUUAGUUACAAAAAAGAAAACCACUAACUUAAAAUUUUACAGUAACAAUUUGUCAAUUGCACAUGACACUUCUCUAUAUGAUGAAAAGAUUAUAAAAGUUUAAACCCGAUCUUACUGUUUAAUGCACUUUUUAACAUUGGUCAAUAUGACCAGUGACAAUUCAUAUAAAACAUGCAUCAGCUAUACCUGACAUACUGUUUAAUAAAUAAUCCACCAUACUAUAUUCAAAUUAACUCUUCCCUGUUAUGGGAAAGAAAAACAUGUAAAAAAUCAUAAUCUAUAUUUAUAAAUAGAAAAGAACAAUGUAUUCAAUGUAUUCUACACGUUAAUACACACAUAACUUUCAACUCUAAAAGUAUGUAAUUUAAACUGCACAAUGUAAUUCAAUUGUGUACAUACAUAUAUACAUAUAUAUUAAAUAAAGAUGAUUUAUCAACUUUGCUUAAUAUUUGGAUAUUCUUGUAUUGAAAAGAUAUAAGAAGAUGUGGUAUGCGUUUUAAUGAGACAAUUCUCCAUUAUUCUACAUUAUAAAGAAGUCAAAUAGAAAUACAAUAUGAUUAAAAUUAAAAGAUUUCACUUUCACACAACUUUCAAUGUAGUGAAAUCCGGUGACAGAUACAUACUUAGGAAUUGUUGCAAAUUAUUUUAAAUUUUUUAUUUAUAAAUACUUUAAUUGUAUUUGGAGAAGACGUUACUAAGUUGUAAAACUUGUGUCUGAUCCUUUUGUCAUUUUGAACAAUAAAAUAUGUUUAAACUAAACUAAACUUUAAUUGUUAGACAUAGACGUUACAUGCUUAUGUUUGUUUUUCCAUGAAGUUGUCAUUUUAUUUUUCGAUGUACAAGUUUACAUGUCCCUUAACUAGUACCUUUCUCUUAUCUUUUAAUGCUACAUCAAUAAGGCAAUAUGAUGAACUAAACGUUAUCUUUAUUUGACCGAAAAACAAAUAUGUAACAAAUACACAAACGACUACCACUGAAUUACAGGCUCCUGACUUAGGACAGGCACAUACAUCUGCAUGUACUAGCUAUACGACGCACACAUAUUAAACGCUUUUUAGUGUAUUCUUGUAGAAUUUUUAAAUUAACAUUUCAGGCAAGAAAAGUAGCUUCCCGAUGGCUGCAAGAUAGCAUUAGACAUGUAAGACUUGGAAAUACAAGACCUGUACCAAUAAACAACAAUUAUCAACUGGGAAAUACUAUGCCAUGGACAGAAGCCUGUGUUAUGUUGAUAAGGGGAUGUAUAGAAGUACCCUUAAAGCAUGCUUUAAGUAGGACUAGAAUGUACUGACUAAAGUGUGUAUUUCCAGUAUCUUGAAAUAAUCAGUCAAAAUAUCAAUGUGUCAUGUUAGAAGGAAGUCUAACAUUCUAAGUUACAUACACGAGGAAGAUAUUCUUUAUUUGAUUAUUUAAUGUGUCUGGG
RNAcentral lists this long non-coding RNA (4836 nucleotides) under Mytilus galloprovincialis (Mediterranean mussel). Lineage: Eukaryota; Metazoa; Mollusca; Bivalvia; Mytilida; Mytilidae. The record is from RNAcentral.